UACGAGGGGUGCAAGCGUUAUUCGGAAUUACUGGGCGUAAAGGGUGUGUAGGUGGUGUAUUAAGUCUGUUGUUAAAUCUCCUGGCUCAACCGGGAAAUCGUGACGGAAACUAAUACGCUAGAGUGUGAGAGAGAGAAGUGGAAUUCUCGGAGUAGCGGUAAAAUGCGUAGAUAUCGAGAGGAACACCGAUGGCGAAAGCAGCUUCUUGGCUCACUACUGACACUGAAACACGAAAGCGUGGGGAGCAAAC
This 250-nucleotide ribosomal RNA is filed under the name uncultured bacterium. Its description in RNAcentral is "partial 16S ribosomal RNA". It matches the Rfam family "Bacterial small subunit ribosomal RNA", at positions 524 to 773 of the family's 1533-position model. The record is from RNAcentral.